Molecule: ribosomal RNA, 170 nt
Filed under: uncultured bacterium
Lineage: Bacteria
Description: partial 16S ribosomal RNA
Rfam family: Bacterial small subunit ribosomal RNA
Source: RNAcentral
CCUACGGGAGGCAGCAGUGGGGAAUCUUGCGCAAUGGGCGAAAGCCUGACGCAGCCAUGCCGCGUGAAUGAUGAAGGUCUUAGGAUUGUAAAAUUCUUUCACCGGGGACGAUAAUGACGGUACCCGGAGAAGAAGCCCCGGCUAACUUCGUGCCAGCAGCCGCGGUAAUU